GAUGAACGCUAGCGACAGGCUUAACACAUGCAAGUCGAGGGGCAGCGAGGGCGUAGCAAUACGCCUGUCGGCGACCGGCGCACUGGUGAGUAACACGUAUGCGACCUGCCCCCUACAGGGGUAUAACCCGUAGAAAUGCGGACUAAUCCCCCAUAGUCCUGGAGGCUGCAUGGCUUUCAGGGGAAAGGUCAGCCGGUAGGGGAUGGGCAUGCGGCGCAUUAGCUAGUUGGCGGGGCAACGGCCCACCAAGGCGACGAUGCGUAGGGGUUCUGAGAGGAAGGUCCCCCCACAUUGGAACUGAGACACGGUCCAAACUCCUACGGGAGGCAGCAGUGAGGAAUAUUGGUCAAUGGGCGAGAGCCUGAACCAGCCAAGUAGCGUGCAGGACGACGGCCCUAUGGGUUGUAAACUGCUUUUGUGCGGGGAUAAAGUGUGGGACGUGUCCCAUAUUGCAGGUACCGCAUGAAUAAGGACCGGCUAAUUCCGUGCCAGCAGCCG
This 498-nucleotide ribosomal RNA is filed under the name uncultured bacterium. RNAcentral's name for it is "bacterial SSU rRNA". It matches the Rfam family "Bacterial small subunit ribosomal RNA", at positions 28 to 517 of the family's 1533-position model. The record is from RNAcentral.